RNAcentral lists this ribosomal RNA (253 nucleotides) under uncultured bacterium. RNAcentral's name for it is "partial 16S ribosomal RNA". It matches the Rfam family "Bacterial small subunit ribosomal RNA", at positions 524 to 776 of the family's 1533-position model. The record is from RNAcentral.
UACGGGGGGAGCAAGCGUUGUUCGGAUUUACUGGGCGUAAAGGGCGCGUAGGCGGCGUGACUAGUCACUUGUGAAAUCUCCGGGCUUAACUCGGAAAGGUCAAGUGAUACUGUCGUGCUAGAGUACAGAAGGGGCAACUGGAAUUCUCGGUGUAGCGGUGAAAUGCGUAGAUAUCGAGAGGAACACCUGCGGCGAAGGCGGGUUGCUGGGCUGAUACUGACGCUGAUGCGCGAAAGCCAGGGGAGCGAACGGG